UGCAAGUCGUACGCGUUGGCCCAACCGAUUUGAAGUGCUUGCACGGAUCUGACGUUGGUUUACCAACGAGUGGCGGACGGGUGAGUAACACGUAGGUAACCUGCCCAGAAGCGGGGGACAACACUUGGAAACAGGUGCUAAUACCGCAUAACAAUUCAAAUCGCAUGAUUUGAAUUUGAAAGAUGGUUUUGGCUAUCACUUCUGGAUGGACCUGCGGCGCAUUAGCUUGUUGGUGGGGUAACGGCCUACCAAGGCAGUGAUGCGUAGCCGAAUUGAGAGACUGAUCGGCCACAAUGGGACUGAGACACGGCCCAUACUCCUACGGGAGGCAGCAGUAGGGAAUCUUCCACAAUGGGCGCAAGCCUGAUGGAGCAACACCGCGUGAGUGAAGAAGGUUUUCGGAUCGUAAAGCUCUGUUGUUGAAGAAGAACGUGCAUGAGAGUAACUGUUCAUGCAGUGACGGUAUUCAACCAGAAAGUCACGGCUAACUACGUGCCAGCAGCCGCGGUAAUACGUAGGUGGCAAGCGUUAUCCGGAUUUAUUGGGCGUAAAGAGAGUGCAGGCGGUUUCUUAAGUCUGAUGUGAAAGCCUUCGGCUCAACCGAAGAAGUGCAUCGGAAACUGGGGAACUUGAGUACAGAAGAGGGCAGUGGAACUCCAUGUGUAGCGGUGGAAUGCGUAGAUAUAUGGAAGAACACCAGUGGCGAAGGCGGCUGCCUGGUCUGUAACUGACGCUGAGACUCGAAAGCAUGGGUAGCGAACAGGAUUAGAUACCCUGGUAGUCCAUGCCGUAAACGAUGAGUGCUAGGUGUUGGAGGGUUUCCGCCCUUCAGUGCCGGAGCUAACGCAUUAAGCACUCCGCCUGGGGAGUACGACCGCAAGGUUGAAACUCAAAGGAAUUGACGGGGGCCCGCACAAGCGGUGGAGCAUGUGGUUUAAUUCGAAGCUACGCGAAGAACCUUACCAGGUCUUGACAUCUUGCGCCAACCCUAGAGAUAGGGCGUUUCCUUCGGGAACGCAAUGACAGGUGGUGCAUGGUCGUCGUCAGCUCGUGUCGUGAGAUGUUGGGUUAAGUCCCGCAACGAGCGCAACCCUUGUUACUAGUUGCCAGCAUUAAGUUGGGCACUCUAGUGAGACUGCCGGUGACAAACCGGAGGAAGGUGGGGACGACGUCAGAUCAUCAUGCCCCUUACGACCUGGGCUACACACGUGCUACAAUGGACGGUACAACGAGCAGCGAACUCGCGAGGGCAAGCAAAUCUCUUAAAACCGUUCUCAGUUCGAAUUGCAGGCUGCAACUCGCCUGCAUGAAGUCGGAAUCGCUAGUAAUCGCGGAUCAGCAUGCCGCGGUGAAUACGUUCCCGGGCCUUGUACACACCGCCCGUCACACCAUGAGAGUUUGUAACACCCAAAGUCGGUGGGGUAACCUUUGGAGCC
RNAcentral lists this ribosomal RNA (1436 nucleotides) under uncultured methanogenic archaeon. RNAcentral's name for it is "bacterial SSU rRNA". It matches the Rfam family "Bacterial small subunit ribosomal RNA". Lineage: Archaea; Methanobacteriati; Methanobacteriota. The record is from RNAcentral.